This 365-nucleotide ribosomal RNA is filed under the name uncultured eukaryote. Its description in RNAcentral is "partial 18S ribosomal RNA". It matches the Rfam family "Eukaryotic small subunit ribosomal RNA", at positions 592 to 976 of the family's 1831-position model. The record is from RNAcentral.
CAAUAGCGUAUAUUUAAGUUGUUGCAGUUAAAAAGCUCGUAGUCGGAUUUUGGCUGAGAACGAUCGGUCCGCCGUUAGGUGUGCACUGAUUGGUCUCAGCUUCCUGGUGAGGAGGUGUGCUUCACGGCCACUUAGUCACCGUGGUUACUUUGAAAAAAUUAGAGUGUUCAAAGCGGGCUUACGCUUGAAUAUAUUAGCAUGGAAUAACACCAUAGGACUCCUGUCCUAUUUCGUUGGUCACGGGACGGGAGUAAUGAUUAAGAGGAACAGUUGGGGGCAUUCGUAUUUCAUUGUCAGAGGUGAAAUUCUUGGAUUUAUGAAAGACGAACUUCUGCGAAAGCAUUUGCCAAGGAUGUUUUCAUUGA